UAGGGAAUCUUGCGCAAUGGGCGAAAGCCUGACGCAGCGACGCCGCGUGCGGGAUGACGGCCUUCGGGUUGUAAACCGCUUUCAGCAGGGACGAAAGUGACGGUACCUGCAGAAGAAGCCCCGGCCAACUACGUGCCAGCAGCCGCGGUAAUACGUAGGGGGCUAGCGUUGUCCGGAUUUAUUGGGCGUAAAGAGCUCGUAGGCGGUUCGAUAAGUCGACGGUGAAAUCUCCACGCUCAACGUGGAGGGGUCCGUUGAUACUGUCGUGACUCGAGUCCGGUAGAGGAGUGUGGAAUUCCCGGUGUAGCGGUGAAAUGCGCAGAGAUCGGGAGGAACACCCGUAGCGAAGGCGGCACUCUGGGCCGGUACUGACGCUGAGGAGCGAAAGCGUGGGGAGCAAACAG
This 404-nucleotide ribosomal RNA is filed under the name uncultured bacterium. RNAcentral's name for it is "bacterial SSU rRNA". It matches the Rfam family "Bacterial small subunit ribosomal RNA", at positions 355 to 775 of the family's 1533-position model. The record is from RNAcentral.